GACGAACGCUGGCGGCGUGCCUAAUACAUGCAAGUAGAACGCACAGUUUAUACCGUAGCUUGCUACACCAUAGACUGUGAGUUGCGAACGGGUGAGUAACGCGUAGGUAACCUGCCUGGUAGCGGGGGAUAACUAUUGGAAACGAUAGCUAAUACCGCAUAAUAUUGAUUAUUGCAUGAUAAUUGAUUGAAAGAUGCUAUUGCAUCACUACCAGAUGGACCUGCGUUGUAUUAGCUAGUAGGUGAGGUAACGGCUCACCUAGGCGACGAUACAUAGCCGACCUGAGACGGUGAUCGGCCACACUGGGACUGGGACACGGCCCAGACUCCUACGGGAGGCAGCAGUAGGGAAUCUUCGGCAAUGGACGAAAGUCUGACCGAGCAACGCCGCGUGAGUGAAGAAGGUUUUCGGAUCGUAAAGCUCUGUUGUAAGAGAAGAACGGGCGUGAGAGUGGAAAGUUCACACUGUGACGGUAUCUGACCAGAAAGGGACGGCUAACUACGUG
This 505-nucleotide ribosomal RNA is filed under the name uncultured bacterium. Its description in RNAcentral is "partial 16S ribosomal RNA". It matches the Rfam family "Bacterial small subunit ribosomal RNA", at positions 28 to 507 of the family's 1533-position model. The record is from RNAcentral.